GGUUAAGCGACUAAGCGUACACGGUGGAUGCCCUGGCAGUCAGAGGCGAUGAAGGACGUGCUAAUCUGCGAUAAGCGUCGGUAAGGUGAUAUGAACCGUUAUAACCGGCGAUGUCCGAAUGGGGAAACCCAGUGUGUUCCGACACACUAUCAUUAACUGAAUCCAUAGGUUAAUGAGGCGAACCGGGGGAACUGAAACAUCUAAGUACCCCGAGGAAAAGAAAUCAACCGAGAUUCCCCCAGUAGCGGCGAGCGAACGGGGAGGAGCCCAGAGCCUGAAUCAGUGUGUGUGUUAGUGGAAGCGUCUGGAAAGGCGCGCGAUACAGGGUGACAGCCCCGUACACAAAAAUGCACAUGCUGUGAGCUCGAUGAGUAGGGCGGGACACGUGGUAUCCUGUCUGAAUAUGGGGGGACCAUCCUCCAAGGCUAAAUACUCCUGACUGACCGAUAGUGAACCAGUACCGUGAGGGAAAGGCGAAAAGAACCCCGGCGAGGGGAGUGAAAAAGAACCUGAAACCGUGUACGUACAAGCAGUGGGAGCCCUGAUUUAUCAGGGUGACUGCGUACCUUUUGUAUAAUGGGUCAGCGACUUAUAUUCUGUAGCAAGGUUAACCGAAUAGGGGAGCCGGAGGGAAACCGAGUCUUAACUGGGCGUUAAGUUGCAGGGUAUAGACCCGAAACCCGGUGAUCUAGCCAUGGGCAGGUUGAAGGUUGGGUAACACUAACUGGAGGACCGAACCGACUAAUGUUGAAAAAUUAGCGGAUGACUUGUGGCUGGGGGUGAAAGGCCAAUCAAACCGGGAGAUAGCUGGUUCUCCCCGAAAGCUAUUUAGGUAGCGCCUCGUGAAUUCAUCUCCGGGGGUAGAGCACUGUUUCGGCAAGGGGGUCAUCCCGACUUACCAACCCGAUGCAAACUGCGAAUACCGGAGAAUGUUAUCACGGGAGACACACGGCGGGUGCUAACGUCCGUCGUGAAGAGGGAAACAACCCAGACCGCCAGCUAAGGUCCCAAAGUCAUGGUUAAGUGGGAAACGAUGUGGGAAGGCCCAGACAGCCAGGAUGUUGGCUUAGAAGCAGCCAUCAUUUAAAGAAAGCGUAAUAGCUCACUGGUCGAGUCGGCCUGCGCGGAAGAUGUAACGGGGCUAAACCAUGCACCGAAGCUGCGGCAGCGACACUGUGUGUUGUUGGGUAGGGGAGCGUUCUGUAAGCCUGCGAAGGUGUGCUGUGAGGUAUGCUGGAGGUAUCAGAAGUGCGAAUGCUGACAUAAGUAACGAUAAAGCGGGUGAAAAGCCCGCUCGCCGGAAGACCAAGGGUUCCUGUCCAACGUUAAUCGGGGCAGGGUGAGUCGACCCCUAAGGCGAGGCCGAAAGGCGUAGUCGAUGGGAAACAGGUUAAUAUUCCUGUACUUGGUGUUACUGCGAAGGGGGGACGGAGAAGGCUAUGUUGGCCGGGCGACGGUUGUCCCGGUUUAAGCGUGUAGGCUGGUUUUCCAGGCAAAUCCGGAGAAUCAAGGCUGAGGCGUGAUGACGAGGCACUACGGUGCUGAAGCAACAAAUGCCCUGCUUCCAGGAAAAGCCUCUAAGCAUCAGGUAACAUCAAAUCGUACCCCAAACCGACACAGGUGGUCAGGUAGAGAAUACCAAGGCGCUUGAGAGAACUCGGGUGAAGGAACUAGGCAAAAUGGUGCCGUAACUUCGGGAGAAGGCACGCUGAUAUGUAGGUGAAGCGACUUGCUCGUGGAGCUGAAAUCAGUCGAAGAUACCAGCUGGCUGCAACUGUUUAUUAAAAACACAGCACUGUGCAAACACGAAAGUGGACGUAUACGGUGUGACGCCUGCCCGGUGCCGGAAGGUUAAUUGAUGGGGUCAGCGCAAGCGAAGCUCUUGAUCGAAGCCCCGGUAAACGGCGGCCGUAACUAUAACGGUCCUAAGGUAGCGAAAUUCCUUGUCGGGUAAGUUCCGACCUGCACGAAUGGCGUAAUGAUGGCCAGGCUGUCUCCACCCGAGACUCAGUGAAAUUGAACUCGCUGUGAAGAUGCAGUGUACCCGCGGCAAGACGGAAAGACCCCGUGAACCUUUACUAUAGCUUGACACUGAACACUGGUCCUUGAUGUGUAGGAUAGGUGGGAGGCUUUGAAGUGUGGACGCCAGUCUGCAUGGAGCCGUCCUUGAAAUACCACCCUUUAAUGGCUGGUGUUCUAACGUUGGCCCGUAAUCCGGGUUGCGGACAGUGUCUGGUGGGUAGUUUGACUGGGGCGGUCUCCUCCUAAAGAGUAACGGAGGAGCACGAAGGUUGGCUAAUCCUGGUCGGACAUCAGGAGGUUAGUGCAAUGGCAUAAGCCAGCUUGACUGCGAGCGUGACGGCGCGAGCAGGUGCGAAAGCAGGUCAUAGUGAUCCGGUGGUUCUGAAUGGAAGGGCCAUCGCUCAACGGAUAAAAGGUACUCCGGGGAUAACAGGCUGAUACCGCCCAAGAGUUCAUAUCGACGGCGGUGUUUGGCACCUCGAUGUCGGCUCAUCACAUCCUGGGGCUGAAGUAGGUCCCAAGGGUAUGGCUGUUCGCCAUUUAAAGUGGUACGCGAGCUGGGUUUAGAACGUCGUGAGACAGUUCGGUCCCUAUCUGCCGUGGGCGCUGGAGAACUGAGGGGGGCUGCUCCUAGUACGAGAGGACCGGAGUGGACGCAUCACUGGUGUUCGGGUUGUCAUGCCAAUGGCACUGCCCGGUAGCUAAAUGCGGAAGAGAUAAGUGCUGAAAGCAUCUAAGCACGAAACUUGCCCCGAGAUGAGUUCUCCCUGAGACUUUAAGUCUCCUGAAGGAACGUUGAAGACGACGACGUUGAUAGGCCGGGUGUGUAAGCGCAGCGAUGCGUUGAGCUAACCGGUACUAAUGAACCGUGAGGCUUAACCUU
This 2905-nucleotide ribosomal RNA is filed under the name Escherichia albertii. RNAcentral describes it as "23S ribosomal RNA". It matches the Rfam family "Bacterial large subunit ribosomal RNA". Lineage: Bacteria; Pseudomonadati; Pseudomonadota; Gammaproteobacteria; Enterobacterales; Enterobacteriaceae. The record is from RNAcentral.